Molecule: ribosomal RNA, 254 nt
Filed under: uncultured bacterium
Lineage: Bacteria
Description: partial 16S ribosomal RNA
Rfam family: Bacterial small subunit ribosomal RNA
Source: RNAcentral
UACGUAGGGGCCUAGCGUUGUCCGGAUUUAUUGGGCGUAAAGAGCUCGUAGGCGGUUCAGCAAGUCGGGUGUGAAAACUCUGGGCUCAACCCAGAGACGCCACCCGAUACUGCUGUGACUAGAGUCCGGUAGGGGAGUGGGGAAUUCCUGGUGUAGCGGUGAAAUGCGCAGAUAUCAGGAGGAACACCGGUGGCGAAGGCGCCACUCUGGGCCGGCACUGACGCUGAGACGCGAAAGCCAGGGGAGCAAACGGG